CUAAGUCCGAUGAGGGAAUUUUCAUUGGUUAUUCUUCACGUAGCAAAGCAUAUAGGGUUUUUAAUAAAAGAACCGAAACUGUGGAGGAAUCCCCUCAUUUUGUAUUUUCCGAAAAUAAUGCUCGCUUUACGAGAAAGGAUUCCGGUUUUGAUCUUGCAGGUAUCUUGAUAGUUUGAAAGACAAAAUACAAGAGGAAACGCCUAAGGAAAAUCAAGAGGAAUUUUUG
This 226-nucleotide long non-coding RNA is filed under the name Nicotiana benthamiana. Its description in RNAcentral is "long non-coding RNA (NBEN_LNC037217)". Lineage: Eukaryota; Viridiplantae; Streptophyta; Magnoliopsida; Solanales; Solanaceae. The record is from RNAcentral.